RNAcentral lists this ribosomal RNA (492 nucleotides) under uncultured bacterium. RNAcentral describes it as "partial 16S ribosomal RNA". It matches the Rfam family "Bacterial small subunit ribosomal RNA", at positions 29 to 507 of the family's 1533-position model. The record is from RNAcentral.
AGUGAACGCUGGCGGUAGGCCUAACACAUGCAAGUCGAACGGCAGCACAGUAAGAGCUUGCUCUUACGGGUGGCGAGUGGCGGACGGGUGAGGAAUACAUCGGAAUCUACUUUUUCGUGGGGGAUAACGUAGGGAAACUUACGCUAAUACCGCAUACGACCUACGGGUGAAAGCAGGGGAUCUUCGGACCUUGCGCGAUUGAAUGAGCCGAUGUCGGAUUAGCUAGUUGGCGGGGUAAAGGCCCACCAAGGCGACGAUCCGUAGCUGGUCUGAGAGGAUGAUCAGCCACACGGGAACUGAGACACGGUCCAGACUCCUACGGGAGGCAGAAGUGGGGAAUAUUGGACAAUGGGCGAAAGCCUGAUCCAGCCAUACCGCGUGGGUGAAGAAGGCCUUCGGGUUGUAAAGCCCUUUUGUUGGGAAAGAAAAGCAGCAGGUUAAUACCCCGCUGUUCUGACGGUACCCAAAGAAUAAGCACCGGCUAACUUCGUG